Molecule: ribosomal RNA, 465 nt
Filed under: uncultured bacterium
Lineage: Bacteria
Description: bacterial SSU rRNA
Rfam family: Bacterial small subunit ribosomal RNA
Source: RNAcentral
GACGAACGCUGGCGGCGUGCCUAACACAUGCAAGUCGAGCGAGGAGAGUUCCUUCGGGAACAAACCUAGCGGCGGACGGGUGAGUAACACGUGGGCAACCUGCCUUGUAGAGGGGAAUAGCCUUCCGAAAGGGAAGAUUAAUACCGCAUAACAUUACAGUUUCGCAUGAAACAGUAAUUAAAGGAGCAAUCCGCUACAAGAUGGGCCCGCGGCGCAUUAGCUAGUUGGUGAGGUAACGGCUCACCAAGGCGACGAUGCGUAGCCGACCUGAGAGGGUGAUCGGCCACAUUGGGACUGAGACACGGCCCAGACUCCUACGGGAGGCAGCAGUGGGGAAUAUUGCACAAUGGGGGAAACCCUGAUGCAGCAACGCCGCGUGAGUGAUGAAGGUUUUCGGAUCGUAAAGCUCUGUCUUCGGGGACGAUAAUGACGGUACCCGAGGAGGAAGCCACGGCUAACUACGUG